Molecule: ribosomal RNA, 440 nt
Filed under: uncultured bacterium
Lineage: Bacteria
Description: partial 16S ribosomal RNA
Rfam family: Bacterial small subunit ribosomal RNA
Source: RNAcentral
CCUACGGGGUGCAGCAGUGGGGAAUAUUGCACAAUGGGGGAAACCCUGAUGCAGCGACGCCGCGUGAGUGAAGAAGUAAUUCGUUAUGUAAAGCUCUAUCAGCAGGGAAGAAAAUGACGGUACCUGAGUAAGAAGCCCCGGCUAACUACGUGCCAGCAGCCGCGGUAAUACGUAGGGGGCAAGCGGUAUCCGGAUUUACUGGGUGGAAAGGGAGCGUAGACGGCAGUGCAAGUCUGGAGUGAAAGGCGGGGGCUCAACCCCCGGACUGCUCUGGAAACUGUACGGCUGGAGUGCAGGAGAGGUAAGUGGAAUUCCUAGUGUAGCGGUGAAAUGCGUAGAUAUUAGGAGGAACACCAGUGGCGAAGGCGGCUUACUGGACUGUAACUGACGUUGAGGCUCGAAAGCGUGGGGAGCAAACAGGAUUAGAUACCCUUGUAGUC